Molecule: ribosomal RNA, 514 nt
Filed under: Wickerhamiella pararugosa
Lineage: Eukaryota; Fungi; Ascomycota; Dipodascomycetes; Dipodascales; Trichomonascaceae
Description: partial large subunit ribosomal RNA
Rfam family: Eukaryotic large subunit ribosomal RNA
Source: RNAcentral
AAACCAACAGGGAUUCCCUUAGUAACGGCGAGUGAACCGGGAAAAGCUCAAAUUUGAAAUCUGCCAACAGGCCGAGUUGUAAUUUGUAGAUGGCUACACUGCAUAAUAGUAGAUGCUCAAGUUCUUUGGAAAAAGACAUCAUGGAGGGUGACAAUCCCGUGAGGCAUGUUACUAGGAGCAUAUAGUGGGCUUUCUAAGAGUCGAGUUGUUUGGGAAUGCAGCUCAAAGUGCGUGGUGAAUACCAUGUAAAGCUAAAUAUGGACGAGAGACCGAUAGCGAACAAGUACUGUGAAGGAAAGAUGAAAAGCACUCCGAAAGGAGAGUGAAAUAGUACGUGAAAUUGUUAAAGUGGAAGGGCUUGAGAUCAGAAUUGGUAGUUUGGGUUCCACGUCCUCUUGGGGGCGUGUACUCCCUUUCCACCGGGCCAGCGGGAGUUUCGUCUCUUGGGUAAAAGCAGUGGAAUGUAGCAGCUUGUCUGUAUUAUAGCCUCUGUUCAUACAAGACGUCGAGACUG